Molecule: ribosomal RNA, 355 nt
Filed under: uncultured bacterium
Lineage: Bacteria
Description: bacterial SSU rRNA
Rfam family: Bacterial small subunit ribosomal RNA
Source: RNAcentral
AGAGUUUGAUCAUGGCUCAGGAUGAACGCUAGCUACAGGCUUAACACAUGCAAGUCGAGGGGAAACGGACAUCGAAAGCUUGCUUUUGAUGGGCGUCGACCGGCGCACGGGUGAGUAACGCGUAUCCAACCUGCCCAUCACUUGGGGAUAACCUUGCGAAAGUAAGACUAAUACCCAAUGACGUCUCUAGAAGACAUCUGAAAGAGAUUAAAGAUUUUAUCGGUGAUGGAUGGGGAUGCGUCUGAUUAGCUUGUUGGCGGGGUAACGGCCGACCAAGGCGACGAUCAGUAGGGGUUCUGAGAGGAAGGUCCCCCACAUUGGAACUGAGACACGGUCCAAAACUCCUACGGGAGCA